This 202-nucleotide ribosomal RNA is filed under the name Tetragnatha acuta. RNAcentral describes it as "partial 12S ribosomal RNA". Lineage: Eukaryota; Metazoa; Arthropoda; Arachnida; Araneae; Tetragnathidae. The record is from RNAcentral.
CACUUUUAAUUAUAUUUUAUAUACCGCCGUCUUGAAUAGAUCAUAAAAUUUUGUUCAAAAUAAAAUUCUAAAAAUUUAGGUAAAGGUGUAAACUAUCUAAAAGAUGAAAUGUAUUACAUUAAAANAAAAUUUAAGGAUCAAAUUAAAAUAUAAUUUUAAGAAAAAGGAUUUAUAAGUAUUAUUUAAUUAAAAUUAAAAUUUG